RNAcentral lists this ribosomal RNA (652 nucleotides) under Ganoderma lingzhi. RNAcentral describes it as "eukaryotic LSU rRNA". The stretch from base 255 to 408 matches the Rfam family "5.8S ribosomal RNA". The record is from RNAcentral. Lineage: Eukaryota; Fungi; Basidiomycota; Agaricomycetes; Polyporales; Polyporaceae.
GAAGUAAAAAGUCGUAACAAGGUUUCCGUAGGUGAACCUGCGGAAGGAUCAUUAUCGAGUUUUGACCGGGUUGUAGCUGGCCUUCCGAGGCAUGUGCACGCCCUGCUCAUCCACUCUACACCUGUGCACUUACUGUGGGCUUCAGAUUGCGAGGCACGCUCUUUACCGGGCUUGCGGAGCAUAUCUGUGCCUGCGUUUAUCACAAACUCUAUAAAGUAACAGAAUGUGUAUUGCGAUGUAACACAUCUAUAUACAACUUUCAGCAACGGAUCUCUUGGCUCUCGCAUCGAUGAAGAACGCAGCGAAAUGCGAUAAGUAAUGUGAAUUGCAGAAUUCAGUGAAUCAUCGAAUCUUUGAACGCACCUUGCGCUCCUUGGUAUUCCGAGGAGCAUGCCUGUUUGAGUGUCAUGAAAUCUUCAACCUACAAGCUUUUGUGGUUUGUAGGCUUGGACUUGGAGGCUUGUCGGCCGUUAUCGGUCGGCUCCUCUUAAAUGCAUUAGCUUGGUUCCUUGCGGAUCGGCUCUCGGUGUGAUAAUGUCUACGCCGUGACCGUGAAGCGUUUGGCGAGCUUCUAACCGUCUUAUAAGACAGCUUUAUGACCUCUGACCUCAAAUCAGGUAGGACUACCCGCUGAACUUAAGCAUAUCAAUAA